This 539-nucleotide transfer RNA is filed under the name Arthrospira sp. 'CCM UdeC 136'. RNAcentral's name for it is "partial contains 16S ribosomal RNA, 16S-23S ribosomal RNA intergenic spacer, and 23S ribosomal RNA". The stretch from base 233 to 305 matches the Rfam family "tRNA". The record is from RNAcentral. Lineage: Bacteria; Bacillati; Cyanobacteriota; Cyanophyceae; Oscillatoriales; Microcoleaceae.
UUUUUUUGCGGGCUGGGAUCACCUCCUUUUUAGGGAGACCUACUUCGAGAUAUCGCGCCUUAACAACUAUAGCCGUGUCUUGAGGUCAUCCUUAGGUCGGAUGGGGCGGUCAGAGAGCUUUCAAACUUUAGGGUUCGUGUUAUGGGCUAUUAGCUCAGGUGGUUAGAGCGCACCCCUGAUAAGGGUGAGGUCCCUGGUUCAAGUCCAGGAUGGCCCACAUCCACCCCAAACUGGGGGUAUAGCUCAGUUGGUAGAGCGCUGCCUUUGCACGGCAGAAGUCAGCGGUUCGAGUCCGCUUACCUCCACUCUCCUUUGUGAUGGUGCUAGUUGGGGUGAGAUGAGAUGAGAUGACCUCUGAUAGAUAAUUUAUCACUGUACAGCUCCUAAAUCUUUAGAUGUUAGUCUGAGAUUGGAUAGCUGGACAUCUGUUCCAGUCAGAACCUUGAAAACUGCAUAGAGAAAAGCAUAAUGGUGUAGGAAAACGUCGUAAAGACAAUUCCAAUGUAGGUCAAGCUACAAAGGGCUAACGGUGGAUACCU